This 251-nucleotide ribosomal RNA is filed under the name uncultured prokaryote. RNAcentral's name for it is "partial 16S rRNA". It matches the Rfam family "Bacterial small subunit ribosomal RNA", at positions 525 to 775 of the family's 1533-position model. The record is from RNAcentral.
ACGGGGGGUGCGAGCGUUGUUCGGAAUUAUUGGGCGUAAAGGGCGUGUAGGCGGCUGAAUAAGUCAGAUGUGAAAUCCCUGGGCUUAACCCAGGACGUGCAUUUGAAACUAUUCGGCUAGAGUAGGGGAGAGGAAAGUGGAAUUCCUGGUGGAGAGGUGAAAGGCGUAGAUAUCAGGAGGAACACCGGGGGCGAAGGCGACUUUCUGGCCAGAGACUGACGCUGAGACGCGAGAGCGUGGGGAGCAAACAG